AGCGAACGCUGGCGGCAGGCCUAACACAUGCAAGUCGAACGAACCUUUCGGGGUUAGUGGCGGACGGGUGAGUAACACGUGGGAACGUGCCUUUAGGUUCGGAAUAACUCAGGGAAACUUGUGCUAAUACCGAAUGUGCCCUUCGGGGGAAAGUUUAAUCGCCUUUAGAGCGGCCCGCGUCUGAUUAGCUAGUUGGUUGAGGUAAUGGCUCACCAAGGCGACGAACAGUAGCUGGUCUGAGAGGAUGAUCAGCCACAUUGGGACUGAGACACGGCCCAAACUCCUACGGGAGGCAGCAGUGGGGAAUCUUGCGCAAUGGGCGAAAGCCUGACGCAGCCAUGCCGCGUGAAUGAUGAAGGUCUUAGGAUUGUAAAAUUCUUUCACCGGGGACGAUAAUGACGGUACCCGGAGAAGAAGCCCCGGCUAACUUCGUG
This 434-nucleotide ribosomal RNA is filed under the name uncultured bacterium. RNAcentral's name for it is "partial 16S ribosomal RNA". It matches the Rfam family "Bacterial small subunit ribosomal RNA", at positions 29 to 507 of the family's 1533-position model. The record is from RNAcentral.